Molecule: ribosomal RNA, 433 nt
Filed under: uncultured bacterium
Lineage: Bacteria
Description: partial 16S ribosomal RNA
Rfam family: Bacterial small subunit ribosomal RNA
Source: RNAcentral
AACGAACGCUGGCGGCAUGCCUAACACAUGCAAGUCGAACGAGACCUUCGGGUCUAGUGGCGCACGGGUGCGUAACGCGUGGGAACCUGCCCUUAGGUUCGGAAUAACUCCCCGAAAGGGGUGCUAAUACCGGAUAAUGUCUUCGGACCAAAGAUUUAUCGCCUUUGGAUGGGCCCGCGUUGGAUUAGCUAGUUGGUAGGGUAAAAGCCUACCAAGGCGACGAUCCAUAGCUGGUCAGAGAGGAUGAUCAGCAACACUGGGACUGAGACACGGCCCAGACUCCUACGGGAGGCAGCAGUGGGGAAUAUUGGACAAUGGGCGAAAGCCUGAUCCAGCAAUGCCGCGUGAGUGAUGAAGGCCUUAGGGUUGUAAAGCUCUUUUACCCGGGAUGAUAAUGACAGUACCGGGAGAAUAAGCUCCGGCUAACUCCGUG